This 1454-nucleotide ribosomal RNA is filed under the name Agromyces sp. RNAcentral's name for it is "bacterial SSU rRNA". It matches the Rfam family "Bacterial small subunit ribosomal RNA", at positions 104 to 1403 of the family's 1533-position model. Lineage: Bacteria; Bacillati; Actinomycetota; Actinomycetes; Micrococcales; Microbacteriaceae. The record is from RNAcentral.
GGGUGAGUAACGCGUGAGUAACCUGCCCUGGACUCUGGGAUAACCCCGAGAAAUCGGAGCUAAUACCGGAUAGGACCCCUAUUCCUCGCACUGAGGUUUGGGUGGAAAGUUUUUCGGUCUGGGAUGGACUCGCAAGGCCUAUCAGCUUGUUGGUGAGGUAAUGGCUCAGCCAAGGCAUCGACGGGUAGCCGGCCUGGGAGGGUGACCGGCCACACUGGGACCUUGAGACACUAGGGGGCCCCAGGACUUCCCUAACGGGGAAAGGCCAGCCAGGUGGGGGGAAAUGAUUGGCAACAAAUGGGCCGCCAAGGCCCUGAAUGCCAGCCAACSCCSCGCCUUGCCGGGAAUGGACGGGCCCUUCGGGGGUUGUAAAACCGGACUUUUUAGUUAGGGAAGGAAGGGGCUUCGGGCUUAGACGGGUACCUUGCAGCAAAAAGGACCCCGGCUAACUUACAUUGCCAGCCAGCCGGCGGUAAUAACGUAGGGGUCCCGAGACGUUGUUCCGGAAUUAAUUGGGGCGUAAAGAAGCUCGUAGGACGGUUUGUCGCGUCUGCUGUGAAAAACUAGAGGCUCAACCCUCUAGCCUGCAGUGGGUACGGGCAGACUUGAGUGGUGUAGGGGAGACUGGAAUUCCUGGUGUAUCGGUGGAAUGCGCAGAUAUCAGGAGGAACACCGAUGGCGAACGCAGGUCUCUGGGCACUUACUGACGCUGAGGAGCGAAAGCGUGGGGAGCGAACAGGAUUAGAUACCCUGGUAGUCCACGCCGUAAACGUUGCGCGCUAGAUGUGGGGACCUUUCCGCGGUUUCCGUGUCGUAGCUAACGCAUUACGCGCCCACGCCUGGGGGAGUACGGCCGCUAGGACUAGAAACUCAAAGGGAAUUGACGGGGGGCCCCGCACAAAUCGGGCGGAAGCAUGGCGGAAUUAAUUCCAAUGCAACCGUCGAAUAAACCUUUACCAAUGGCUUGGACAUAUACCAAGAAACGGGACCAUAAACGGGGCAAAUUCGUUUGGAACACUCGUUAUACCAGGUGGGUGGCAUGGCUUGUCGCCCAGCCUCGAGUUCGUGAAAAUGUUUGGGCUUAAAUUCCCCGAUACCGAGGCCCCACCCCUCCCUCGCCAUGUUUGGCCAGCCCCGAUUAUGGGUGGGGGGAACUCGACGUGGAAAAUUGCCCCGGGGGUCAACCUCCGAAGGAAAGGUGGGGGAAUGAACGUUACAAAUUCAUUUUAUGGCCACCGUUAAGGUCCUUGGGGGCUUCCAACGCCUGGCCUUACAAAUGGGCCCGGGUUCAAAAAGCUGCGAUGUCGUAAGGCGGAGCGAAUCCCAAAAAGCCGGUCUCAGUUCGGAUUGAGGUCUGCAACUCGACCUCAUGAAGUCGGAGUCGCUAGUAAUCGCAGAUCAGCAACGCUGCGGUGAAUACGUUCCCGGGCCUUGUACACACCGCCCGUCAAGUC